This 468-nucleotide ribosomal RNA is filed under the name uncultured bacterium. RNAcentral describes it as "partial 16S ribosomal RNA". It matches the Rfam family "Bacterial small subunit ribosomal RNA", at positions 28 to 507 of the family's 1533-position model. The record is from RNAcentral.
GACGAACGCUGGCGGCGUGCUUAACACAUGCAAGUCGAACGGAAAGGCCCUGCUUUUGUGGGGUGCUCGAGUGGCGAACGGGUGAGUAACACGUGAGUAACCUGCCCUGGACUUUGGGAUAACUUCAGGAAACUGGGGCUAAUACCGGAUAGAAGUUCCUGCGGCAGGGGGGGGGUUGGAAAGUUUCGGCGGUUGGGGAUGGACUCGCGGCUUAUCAGCUUGUUGGUGGGGUAGUGGCUUACCAAGGCUUUGACGGGUAGCCGGCCUGAGAGGGUGACCGGCCACAUUGGGACUGAGAUACGGCCCAGACUCCUACGGGAGGCAGCAGUGGGGAAUAUUGCACAAUGGGCGGAAGCCUGAUGCAGCAACGCCGCGUGCGGGAUGACGGCCUUCGGGUUGUAAACCGCUUUCGCCUGUGACGAAGCGUGAGUGACGGUAAUGGGUAAAGAAGCACCGGCUAACUACGUG